This 511-nucleotide ribosomal RNA is filed under the name uncultured bacterium. RNAcentral describes it as "partial 16S ribosomal RNA". The record is from RNAcentral.
GGAGUUAGCCGGUGCUUCUUCUGCGAGUAACGUCACAGAUGUAAGGUAUUAACUUACACCCUUUCCUCCUCGCUGAAAGUGCUUUACAACCCGAAGUCCUUCUUCACACACGCGGCAUGGCUGCAUCAGGGUUUCCCCCAUUGUGCAAUAUUCCCCACUGCUGCCUCCCGUAGGAGUCUGGGCCGUGUCUCAGUCCCAGUGUGGCUGAUCAUCCUCUCAGACCAGCUAGGGAUCGUCGCCUAGGUGAGCCUUUACCUCACCUACUAGCUAAUCCCACCUGGGCUUAUCCAUCAGCGCAAGGCCCGAAGGUCCCCUGCUUUCCCCCGUAGGGCGUAUGCGGUAUUAGCAGUCGUUUCCAACUGUUAUCCCCCACAAAUGGGCAAAUUCCCAGGCAUUACUCACCCGUCCGCCGCUCGUCAUCUUCAAAAGCAAGCUUUUGAAAUGUUACCGCUCGACUUGCAUGUGUUAGGCCUGCCGCCAGCGUUCAAUCUGAGCCAUGAUCAAACUCUGA